GACGAACGCUGGCGGCGUGCUUAACACAUGCAAGUCGAACAGUAAGGCCCUUCGGGGUACACGAGUGGCGAACGGGUGAGUAACACGUGGGUGAUCUGCCCUGCACUUCGGGAUAAGCCUGGGAAACUGGGUCUAAUACCGGAUAGGACCCUGGGAUGCAUGUCCUGGGGUGGAAAGCUUUUGCGGUAUGGGAUGGGCCCGCGGCCUAUCAGCUUGUUGGUGGGGUGAUGGCCUACCAAGGCGACGACGGGUAGCCGGCCUGAGAGGGUGACCGGCCACACUGGGACUGAGAUACGGCCCAGACUCCUACGGGAGGCAGCAGUGGGGAAUAUUGCACAAUGGGCGCAAGCCUGAUGCAGCGACGCCACGUGAGGGAUGACGGCCUUCGGGUUGUAAACCUCUUUCAGCACCGACGAAGCGCAAGUGACGGUAGGUGCAGAAGAAGGACCGGCCAACUACGUGCCAGCCGCCGCGGUAA
RNAcentral lists this ribosomal RNA (478 nucleotides) under uncultured bacterium. Its description in RNAcentral is "partial 16S ribosomal RNA". It matches the Rfam family "Bacterial small subunit ribosomal RNA", at positions 28 to 523 of the family's 1533-position model. The record is from RNAcentral.